RNAcentral lists this ribosomal RNA (414 nucleotides) under uncultured bacterium. RNAcentral describes it as "bacterial SSU rRNA". It matches the Rfam family "Bacterial small subunit ribosomal RNA", at positions 355 to 786 of the family's 1533-position model. The record is from RNAcentral.
UGGGGAAUAUUGGACAAUGGGCGCAAGCCUGAUCCAGCAAUGCCGCGUGUGUGAAGAAGGUCUUCGGAUUGUAAAGCACUUUCGGCGGGGACGAUGAUGACGGUACCCGCAGAAGAAGCCCCGGCUAACUUCGUGCCAGCAGCCGCGGUAAUACGAAGGGGGCUAGCGUUGCUCGGAAUGACUGGGCGUAAAGGGCGCGUAGGCGGAUUGUACAGUCAGGUGUGAAAUUCCCGGGCUUAACCUGGGGGCUGCACUUGAUACGUAUGGUCUUGAGUAGGGAAGAGGGUCGUGGAAUUCCCAGUGUAGAGGUGAAAUUCGUAGAUAUUGGGAAGAACACCGGUGGCGAAGGCGGCGACCUGGUCCUUGACUGACGCUGAGGCGCGAAAGCGUGGGGAGCAAACAGGAUUAGAUACC